UACAGAGGUCUCAAGCGUUGUUCGGAUUCAUUGGGCGUAAAGGGUGCGUAGGCGGCGCGGUAAGUCGGGUGUGAAAUCUCGGGGCUUAACUCCGAAACUGCAUUCGAUACUGCCGUGAUUGAGGACUGGAGAGGAGAUUGGAAUUUACGGUGUAGCAGUGAAAUGCGUAGAUAUCGUAAGGAAGACCAGUGGCGAAGGCGGGUCUCUGGACAGUUCCUGACGCUGAGGCACGAAGGUCAGGGGAGCAAACGGG
This 253-nucleotide ribosomal RNA is filed under the name uncultured bacterium. RNAcentral's name for it is "partial 16S ribosomal RNA". It matches the Rfam family "Bacterial small subunit ribosomal RNA", at positions 524 to 776 of the family's 1533-position model. The record is from RNAcentral.